RNAcentral lists this unclassified non-coding RNA (240 nucleotides) under soil metagenome. Its description in RNAcentral is "partial contains 5.8S ribosomal RNA, internal transcribed spacer 2, and large subunit ribosomal RNA". The record is from RNAcentral.
AACCAUUCUCACCUGCGGCUAGACCUGCGGAAGGAUCAUUAAAAAGAGUGUGUACCCCUCUGUAAAAUGAGUGGGUUACCUCCCGUCCUUUGUUGACCUCUUAGGAGGUUAUUUUGAACUUUCUGCUUCGGUGGGGUUAAACCUACCGGAACACCCUCAAAUUCUUAUCAUUUAAAAAUUGUUCAGUCUGAUUUUUGUUAAUAAAAACAAAAAACUUUCAGCAACGGAUCUCAGAUCGGA